Molecule: ribosomal RNA, 497 nt
Filed under: uncultured bacterium
Lineage: Bacteria
Description: partial 16S ribosomal RNA
Rfam family: Bacterial small subunit ribosomal RNA
Source: RNAcentral
GACGAACGCUGGCGGCGUGCCUAAUACAUGCAAGUCGAACGCUGAAGAGAGGAGCUUGCUCUUCUUGGAUGAGUUGCGAACGGGUGAGUAACGCGUAGGUAACCUGCCUUGUAGCGGGGGAUAACUAUUGGAAACGAUAGCUAAUACCGCAUAACAAUGGAUGACACAUGUCAUUUAUUUGAAAGGGGCAAUUGCUCCACUACAAGAUGGACCUGCGUUGUAUUAGCUAGUAGGUGAGGUAAUGGCUCACCUAGGCGACGAUACAUAGCCGACCUGAGAGGGUGAUCGGCCACACUGGGACUGAGACACGGCCCAGACUCCUACGGGAGGCAGCAGUAGGGAAUCUUCGGCAAUGGGGGCAACCCUGACCGAGCAACGCCGCGUGAGUGAAGAAGGGUUUCGGAUCGUAAAGCUCGGUUGUAAGUCAAGAACGGGUGUGAGAGUGGAAAGUUCACACUGUGACGGUAGCUUACCAGAAAGGGACGGCUAACUACGUG